Molecule: non-coding RNA, 89 nt
Organism: Mycena rebaudengoi
Lineage: Eukaryota; Fungi; Basidiomycota; Agaricomycetes; Agaricales; Mycenaceae
Source: the annotation of a GenBank genome assembly
GGCAGGAAGGCGCACGGUGCGCGUCGGGUUCUGUUGUAGCCUUUCAUAGCGUCAACCUGAAGGUCCCCGUUCGACUCGGGGUCCUGCUA